RNAcentral lists this long non-coding RNA (386 nucleotides) under Gossypium barbadense (sea-island cotton). RNAcentral's name for it is "long non-coding RNA (GBAR_LNC020874)". Lineage: Eukaryota; Viridiplantae; Streptophyta; Magnoliopsida; Malvales; Malvaceae. The record is from RNAcentral.
AAAUUUUUCUAAAUGCUUUUUUUAAUUUUAAUUAUUUUUUAAGUUUAAAUUCAUUUGCUGACAUGGUAUUAUUUUGUCUUAUAUGCCACAUCAGCAUCUACAGACGUGUAGCGCCUAGGUGGAAAAAAAAUUUCCGCAUCAAUGUCGUUAGUCCCUUAAUGACCACCUCAGCAACACCGUUAAAAAUGACUAUUUUGACCAAAAAAAAGGUUAUGUAUGAAAGUGCUCCAAAAAAACCUUAAAGGCCAAAGUGACCCAACACCCAAACGUUAAGGGCUAAUUUUGUCAUUAUGCAAAUUUAUUUUAAAUUUAUGUAUGAAAGUGCUCCAAAAAAAAACCUUAAAGGCCAAAGUGACCCAACACCCAAACGUUAAGGGCUAAUUUUG